GAUUGAACGCUGGCGGCAUGCCUUACACAUGCAAGUCGAACGGCAGCACGGGUGCUUGCACCUGGUGGCGAGUGGCGAACGGGUGAGUAAUACAUCGGAACAUGUCCUGUAGUGGGGGAUAGCCCGGCGAAAGCCGGAUUAAUACCGCAUACGAUCUACGGAUGAAAGCGGGGGACCUUCGGGCCUCGCGCUAUAGGGUUGGCCGAUGGCUGAUUAGCUAGUUGGUGGGGUAAAGGCCUACCAAGGCGACGAUCAGUAGAUGGUCUGAGAGGACGACCAGCCACACUGGGACUGAGACACGGCCCAGACUCCUACGGGAGGCAGCAGUGGGGAAUUUUGGACAAUGGGCGAAAGCCUGAUCCAGCAAUGCCGCGUGUGUGAAGAAGGCCUUCGGGUUGUAAAGCACUUUUGUCCGGAAAGAAAUCCUUGGCUCUAAUACAGUCGGGGGAUGACGGUACCGGAAGAAUAAGCACCGGCUAACUACGUG
RNAcentral lists this ribosomal RNA (487 nucleotides) under uncultured bacterium. RNAcentral describes it as "partial 16S ribosomal RNA". It matches the Rfam family "Bacterial small subunit ribosomal RNA", at positions 27 to 507 of the family's 1533-position model. The record is from RNAcentral.